UAGUCAUAUGCUUGUCUCAAAGAUUAAGCCAUGCAUUUCUAAGUACAAGCCUCACUAAGGUGAAACCGCGAAUGGCUCAUUAAAUCACACCUAAUUUACUGGAUAGUUAACAGUUACUUGGAUAACUGCGGUAAUUCUGGAGCUAAUACAUGCACAAAGCCCCGAACUUACGUGAGGGGCGCUUUUAUUAGAUCAAAACCAAACGGCUUCGGCUGUAUCCUUGGUGACUCUGAAUAACUUUGGGCUGAUCGCAUGGCCUAGCGCCGGCGACAUAUCCUUCGAAGGUGUGCCCUAUCAACUGUCGACUGUGGCAUAGACGCCCACAGUGGUUUUGACGGGUAACGGGGAAUCAGGGUUCGAUUCCGGAGAGGGAGCCUUAAAAACGGCUACCACAUCUAAGGAAGGCAGCAGGCACGCAAAUUACCCAAUGACCGAAGGUCGAGGUAGUGACAAAAAAUAACGAUACGGGACUCAUCUGAGGCCCCGUAAUCGGAAUGAGUACACUUUAAAACCGUCCCCGAGGAUCUAUU
RNAcentral lists this ribosomal RNA (530 nucleotides) under uncultured eukaryote. Its description in RNAcentral is "SSU rRNA". It matches the Rfam family "Eukaryotic small subunit ribosomal RNA", at positions 21 to 549 of the family's 1831-position model. The record is from RNAcentral.